UGGCUCAGUGGUAGAGCACGUGCCUUGCAUGCAUGAGGCCCUGGGUUCGAUUCCUCAG
RNAcentral lists this transfer RNA (58 nucleotides) under Dipodomys ordii (Ord's kangaroo rat). It matches the Rfam family "tRNA", at positions 8 to 63 of the family's 71-position model. From Rfam's summary of the family: Transfer RNA (tRNA) molecules are approximately 80 nucleotides in length. Their secondary structure includes four short double-helical elements and three loops (D, anti-codon, and T loops). Lineage: Eukaryota; Metazoa; Chordata; Mammalia; Rodentia; Heteromyidae. The record is from Rfam by way of RNAcentral.